UGGGGAGUACGACCGCAAGGUUGAAACUCAAAGGAAUUGACGGGGGCCCGCACAAGCGGUGGAGCAUGUGGUUUAAUUCGAAGCAACGCGAAGAACCUUACCAGGUCUUGACAUCCNGAUGCUAUCCUUAGAGAUAAGGAGUUACUUCGGUACAUCGGUGACAGGUGGUGCAUGGUUGUCGUCAGCUCGUGUCAUGAGAUGUUGGGUUAAGUCCCGCAACGAGCGCAACCCUUAUUACUAGUUGCCAUCAUUAAGUUGGGCACCCUAGUGAGACUGCCGGUGAUAAACCGGAGGAAGGUGGGGAUGACGUCAAAUCAUCAUGCCCCUUAUGACCUGGGCUACACACGUGCUACAAUGGAUGGUACAACGAGUCGCCAACCCGCGAGGGUGCGCUAAUCUCUUAAAACCAUUCUCAGUUCGGAUUGCAGGCUGCAACUCGCCUGCAUGAAGUCGGAAUCGCUAGUAAUCGCGGAUCAGCACGCCGCGGUGAAUACGUUCCCGGGCCUUGUACACACCGCCCGUCACACCACGGGAGUUGGGAGUACCCGAAGUAGGUUGCCUAACCGCAAGGAGGGCGCUUCCUAAGGUAAGACCGAUGACUGGGGUGAAGUCGUAACAAGGUAGCCAAGGGCGAAUUCGCGGC
RNAcentral lists this ribosomal RNA (643 nucleotides) under uncultured bacterium. RNAcentral's name for it is "bacterial SSU rRNA". It matches the Rfam family "Bacterial small subunit ribosomal RNA", at positions 874 to 1518 of the family's 1533-position model. The record is from RNAcentral.